ACUAUCAUUAACUGAAUCCAUAGGUUAAUGAGGCGAACCGGGGGAACUGAAACAUCUAAGUACCCCGAGGAAAAGAAAUCAACCGAGAUUCCCCCAGUAGCGGCGAGCGAACGGGGAGGAGCCCAGAGCCUGAAUCAGUGUGUGUGUUAGUGGAAGCGUCUGGAAAGGCGCGCGAUACAGGGUGACAGCCCCGUACACAAAAAUGCACAUAUUGUGAGCUCGAUGAGUAGGGCGGGACACGUGGUAUCCUGUCUGAAUAUGGGGGGACCAUCCUCCAAGGCUAAAUACUCCUGACUGACCGAUAGUGAACCAGUACCGUGAGGGAAAGGCGAAAAGAACCCCGGCGAGGGGAGUGAAAAAGAACCUGAAACCGUGUACGUACAAGCAGUGGGAGCCUCUUUAUGGGGUGACUGCGUACCUUUUGUAUAAUGGGUCAGCGACUUAUAUUCUGUAGCAAGGUUAACCGAAUAGGGGAGCCGAAGGGAAACCGAGUCUUAACUGGGCGUUAAGUUGCAGGGUAUAGACCCGAAACCCGGUGAUCUAGCCAUGGGCAGGUUGAAGGUUGGGUAACACUAACUGGAGGACCGAACCGACUAAUGUUGAAAAAUUAGCGGAUGACUUGUGGCUGGGGGUGAAAGGCCAAUCAAACCGGGAGAUAGCUGGUUCUCCCCGAAAGCUAUUUAGGUAGCGCCUCGUGAAUUCAUCUCCGGGGGUAGAGCACUGUUUCGGCAAGGGGGUCAUCCCGACUUACCAACCCGAUGCAAACUGCGAAUACCGGAGAAUGUUAUCACGGGAGACACACGGCGGGUGCUAACGUCCGUCGUGAAGAGGGAAACAACCCAGACCGCCAGCUAAGGUCCCAAAGUCAUGGUUAAGUGGGAAACGAUGUGGGAAGGCCCAGACAGCCAGGAUGUUGGCUUAGAAGCAGCCAUCAUUUAAAGAAAGCGUAAUAGCUCACUGGUCGAGUCGGCCUGCGCGGAAGAUGUAACGGGGCUAAACCAUGCACCGAAGCUGCGGCAGCGACACUAUGUGUUGUUGGGUAGGGGAGCGUUCUGUAAGCCUGUGAAGGUGGCCUGUGAGGGUUGCUGGAGGUAUCAGAAGUGCGAAUGCUGACAUAAGUAACGAUAAAGCGGGUGAAAAGCCCGCUCGCCGGAAGACCAAGGGUUCCUGUCCAACGUUAAUCGGGGCAGGGUGAGUCGACCCCUAAGGCGAGGCCGAAAGGCGUAGUCGAUGGGAAACAGGUUAAUAUUCCUGUACUUGGUGUUACUGCGAAGGGGGGACGGAGAAGGCUAUGUUGGCCGGGCGACGGUUGUCCCGGUUUAAGCGUGUAGGCUGGUUUUCCAGGCAAAUCCGGAAAACCAAGGCUGAGGCGUGAUGACGAGGCACUACGGUGCUGAAGCGACAAAUGCCCUGCUUCCAGGAAAAGCCUCUAAGCAUCAGGUAACAUCAAAUCGUACCCCAAACCGACACAGGUGGUCAGGUAGAGAAUACCAAGGCGCUUGAGAGAACUCGGGUGAAGGAACUAGGCAAAAUGGUGCCGUAACUUCGGGAGAAGGCACGCUGAUAUGUAGGUGAAGCGACUUGCUCGUGGAGCUGAAAUCAGUCGAAGAUACCAGCUGGCUGCAACUGUUUAUUAAAAACACAGCACUGUGCAAACACGAAAGUGGACGUAUACGGUGUGACGCCUGCCCGGUGCCGGAAGGUUAAUUGAUGGGGUUAGCGGUAACGCGAAGCUCUUGAUCGAAGCCCCGGUAAACGGCGGCCGUAACUAUAACGGUCCUAAGGUAGCGAAAUUCCUUGUCGGGUAAGUUCCGACCUGCACGAAUGGCGUAAUGAUGGCCAGGCUGUCUCCACCCGAGACUCAGUGAAAUUGAACUCGCUGUGAAGAUGCAGUGUACCCGCGGCAAGACGGAAAGACCCCGUGAACCUUUACUAUAGCUUGACACUGAACAUUGAGCCUUGAUGUGUAGGAUAGGUGGGAGGCUUUGAAGUGUGGACGCCAGUCUGCAUGGAGCCGACCUUGAAAUACCACCCUUUAAUGUUUGAUGUUCUAACGUUGGCCCGUAAUCCGGGUUGCGGACAGUGUCUGGUGGGUAGUUUGACUGGGGCGGUCUCCUCCUAAAGAGUAACGGAGGAGCACGAAGGUUGGCUAAUCCUGGUCGGACAUCAGGAGGUUAGUGCAAUGGCAUAAGCCAGCUUGACUGCGAGCGUGACGGCGCGAGCAGGUGCGAAAGCAGGUCAUAGUGAUCCGGUGGUUCUGAAUGGAAGGGCCAUCGCUCAACGGAUAAAAGGUACUCCGGGGAUAACAGGCUGAUACCGCCCAAGAGUUCAUAUCGACGGCGGUGUUUGGCACCUCGAUGUCGGCUCAUCACAUCCUGGGGCUGAAGUAGGUCCCAAGGGUAUGGCUGUUCGCCAUUUAAAGUGGUACGCGAGCUGGGUUUAGAACGUCGUGAGACAGUUCGGUCCCUAUCUGCCGUGGGCGCUGGAGAACUGAGGGGGGCUGCUCCUAGUACGAGAGGACCGGAGUGGACGCAUCACUGGUGUUCGGGUUGUCAUGCCAAUGGCACUGCCCGGUAGCUAAAUGCGGAAGAGAUAAGUGCUGAAAGCAUCUAAGCACGAAACUUGCCCCGAGAUGAGUUCUCCCUGACUCCUUGA
RNAcentral lists this ribosomal RNA (2655 nucleotides) under Escherichia coli. RNAcentral's name for it is "bacterial LSU rRNA". It matches the Rfam family "Bacterial large subunit ribosomal RNA". The record is from RNAcentral. Lineage: Bacteria; Pseudomonadati; Pseudomonadota; Gammaproteobacteria; Enterobacterales; Enterobacteriaceae.